Molecule: ribosomal RNA, 107 nt
Filed under: Pteropus alecto (black flying fox)
Lineage: Eukaryota; Metazoa; Chordata; Mammalia; Chiroptera; Pteropodidae
Source: RNAcentral
CACUAUGGCCAUGCCACCCUGAACAUGCCCGAUCUCAUCUGAUCUUAGAAGCUAAGCAAAGUUGGGCCUGAUUAGUACUUGGAUGAGAAUACCAAGUGCUGUAGGCA